CUGGUUAUUCCCAAAAGUGGGGGGAAACCUGGGGAACUCAGGCUAAUACCGCAUACGUCCUACGGGAGAAAGGCCGGCAGUUUACUGCUCUCGCUAUUAGAUGAGCCUAAGUCGGAUUAACUAGAUGGUGGGGUAAAGGCCUACCAUGGCGACGAUCUGUAGCUGGUCUGAGAGGAUGAUCAGCCACACCGGGACUGAGACACGGCCCGGACUCCUACGGGAGGCAGCAGUGGGGAAUAUUGGACAAUGGGGGCAACCCUGAUCCAGCCAUGCCGCGUGUGUGAAGAAGGCCUUUUGGUUGUAAAGCACUUUAAGCAGUGAAGAAGACUCCAUGGUUAAUACCCAUGGACGAUGACAUUAGCUGCAGAAUAAGCACCGGCUAACUCUGUGCCAGCAGCCGCGGUAAUACAGAGGGUGCAAGCGUUAAUCGGAAUUACUGGGCGUAAAGCGAGCGUAGGUGGCUUGAUAAGUCAGAUGUGAAAUCCCCGGGCUUAACCUGUGAACUGCAUCUGAUACUGUUAGGCUAGAAUAGGUGAGAGGAGGGUAGAAAUUCCAGGUGUAGCGGUGAAAUGCGUAGAGAUCUUGGAGGAAUACCGAUGGCGAAAGGCAGCCUUCUGGCAUCAUAUUGACACUGAGGUUCGAAAGCGUGGGUAGCAAACAGGAUUAGAUACCCUGGUUAGUCCCACGCCGUUAAACGAUGUUCUACUAGUUCGUUGGGGUCCCUUUGAGGACUUUAGUGAACGCAGCUAACGCAA
This 755-nucleotide ribosomal RNA is filed under the name uncultured Psychrobacter sp. RNAcentral's name for it is "bacterial SSU rRNA". It matches the Rfam family "Bacterial small subunit ribosomal RNA", at positions 118 to 860 of the family's 1533-position model. Lineage: Bacteria; Pseudomonadati; Pseudomonadota; Gammaproteobacteria; Moraxellales; Moraxellaceae. The record is from RNAcentral.